GUAUUUUUCAUAAUGCGAUUUCAGAUUCAGACUGAAGUUUAUUCGUGUUACUUGCUGCUAUUGAUCUGAUCUCCGGAUCUAAGGUAAGUAUGGUUUAUUGCGAUUCAUUCUGGUAUGUUUCUUAUCUUACAUGUUAUGCUAUUAUAUAUAGUGCCUAAAAUGGAAAUGAAAUGUGAAUAUCCAGACCGGUAAAAUACAGGCAACAUCACCUGGUUGGUAACUUUAUCAAGUAAUUGUAGUAUUCCCAUUUAGAAUAUCCACUGAAGACAAUAGGAAUUGAAUAAAAGCAUCUGUAGAUCAACGUACAAACUUCAACAAUGUAAACUAUAAUAGGAAUGUGUAAAAAAAAAUGCUCAAGCGUGACAUUUAUAUCACAGUAAAUUUUUACCUUAAAAAUAUAUAAAUGUGAAAUAAUUACAGGAACAAAUUAAGAUCACAUACGCACAGCUGUUAAUAUUGAAAUUAUCAAUUUGCCCCACCUUAGGCAGCAACCAUUUGAUUUUUCUGGGGGGGGCUAUGGUUUUUUUUUCUGUACAAACUUUUUUUUUCGCCUGCGGCGAAAAACAAUCUAUUUUUUUCGCCACAAGUCAAAACAAUUUUUUUUCUUUCAAUUUUAGCAUUACAUAUAGUGGCAGCUGAGGGUGAAACAAACAAUUUUUUUUCUCAGAAUCAAAAACAAAUUAUUUUUUUUCUCCAAAAACUGGAAACAAACUUUUUUUUCCAAAAAAAACCAUAGCCCCCCCAGAAAAUCAUAUGGUUGCUGCCUUAGUAGCAAUAUACCAACUUCACCUGCAUAUGGGAUAUACAUUUCCCAACUCAUUAGGUAUUCAAGAUCUUCCAGCUGCUACUAAACGUUGUUAAACGUCACCAGUCUCUGAGUAGAAAGUUGAUGAACCAGCGAUAUGUCAAAGAACGUCUCAUCCAUUUUCAAAGUUUUUGGUAGAUAUCAAGACCUUGUUGAUAAAUUUUCCGUAUCAACUUUACAAAUAAUACACGAGGGUCUUAAAGUUUAUAUUCUGUGUACUGUUGUUGUUUAUCAUCUUAAUGACGUGUUAUAGUAUUCUUUUACUUUUCUGUGGCUGUGCAAAUUAUUACUUUUACUGUUUAUAGAUAUAGGAAGAUGUGGUGUGAGUGCCAAUGAGACAACCCUCCAUCCAAAUAACAAUGUUAAAAAAGUAAACCAUUAUAGGUCAAUGUACGGCCUUCAACACGGAGUCUUGGCUCACACCGAACAACAAGCUAUAAAGGGCCCCAAAAUUACUAGUGUAAAACCAUUCAAACGGGAAAACCAUCGGGUUAAUCUAUAUAAUAAAAUUGAGAAUGGAAAAACAAGAACUAUUUUUAAAAAAGAUAUCCGACGUAUUUAAUUUGAGUAUAUUUAAAACGAUCAUUUCGAUUAACCUUCAGAAGCACAAAGAUCCAUCUAAAUAACGUUUUCUCGUUUGUGUUCAGUAUUCUCGGUCCUCGUAUCUUUCUGUUUACAUUCACUAAAACCCCGCGGAAAUCUCACAUGCGUAGGUGCGUUCUAAAAGUCA
Molecule: long non-coding RNA, 1535 nt
Filed under: Mytilus galloprovincialis (Mediterranean mussel)
Lineage: Eukaryota; Metazoa; Mollusca; Bivalvia; Mytilida; Mytilidae
Source: RNAcentral